This 1047-nucleotide ribosomal RNA is filed under the name Triticum aestivum (bread wheat). Its description in RNAcentral is "partial small subunit ribosomal RNA". The record is from RNAcentral. Lineage: Eukaryota; Viridiplantae; Streptophyta; Magnoliopsida; Poales; Poaceae.
CUUUAAAGGUCUACAAAGCGGUUAUGAGGUAUUUGACUCUCUGGCUGUAUUAUUGGUUUCCGUGCCGUAGUAAGCUGAGGGUUUUAGUCAGUCAGGACGCGUUGCUUUAGCUCCAUGCUAAUGAGCUAGGAAGCGCUAAACUCACCGUCGGACACAAGAGGUGUAGGCACGAGAGCAUCUAGGGCUUAUAACACACGUAGGGUGGACGCAUAGAGGACGGCCCCUAAAGAAUAGACUCUAGAGAGAACAAGAACGCGUAUACGUAUACACACCAGAGGAGCGUGCCUUUACUAUUUGGCCGUAUAAAUCCUUCCCUACCGCGCUAGCUAGCAAAGAAGAAGAGAAGAUUUUAGCCGGGAACCUUGUAUAGACACACUGUUGGUUCGUCGAUCGUGUGGCUAAGGUACUCCCCUUCGCGCUCCAGAGAUCAACUUUGGCGUUGGUCUGUUUAGUUUGGACCGUUACCUGAGCGUUCAUACAGUCGUAGGUGGAAGUCAAACGAAACGAACUCUUAAAGUUCUUAGUCGACAGCCACAGAGCCAAAUGGAACACAACUUGUCCCCACUACUGCUAAUGGUGAGGGUUCUUCGUGCUCUUCCUCUAGUCGGGAUGACUUAGACGGGAGGGUUUCCUACUUUUGCAGCUCGGGGAGCAGCGAAAGUCGGCCGGCGGAGGAAACGGUGGCCAAGAUCCGGGGAACUAGCGCGAGAGCGAAAAAGUCUGAAGAAGAUCACUACUCCUGUCGUUUACUCAGCGGUCCAUACACGUCUACAACGGGUACGAGAAGAGACAAAAAGGCGUUACUACGGUGUCACUGUAUUUUAUGUCUUAAGACACGUCCCCCGAACGAACAAACUAGCGACUCAACCAAUGAAAACCCUCGGACCGGCACAUAUAUCAGUCUCCAACAUCUGUAGUACAACGACAUCAUCAGACCGUUCAUGAUGCUUUAGACUUAUUACAUCAUCAGAACACACUGUUGAAAAGUCUGACUUGCUUAAAGUUUCAGACAGCGACACGUUGCAAAAUAAAAGAACACUUAGGUAU